AUUGAACGCUGGCGGAAUGCUUUACACAUGCAAGUCGAGCGGCAGCGCGGGGGGCAACCCUGGCGGCGAGCGGCGAACGGGUGAGUAAUACAUCGGAACGUGUCCUUGAGUGGGGGAUAGCUACGGCGAAAGCCGGAUUAAUACCGCAUAAGCUCUGAGGAGGAAAGCGGGGGACCUGGUAAACGGGCCUUCGCGCUGUUGGAGCGGCCGAUGUCGGAUUAGCUAGUUGGUGGGGUGAUGGCCUACCAAGGCGACGACGGGUAGCCGGCCUGAGAGGGCGACCGGCCACACUGGGACUGAGACACGGGCCCAGACUCCUACGGGAGGGCAGCAGUGGGGAAUCUUGCGCAAUGGGCGAAAGCCUGACGCAGCGACGCCGCGUGAGGGAUGACGGCCU
This 397-nucleotide ribosomal RNA is filed under the name uncultured bacterium. RNAcentral describes it as "bacterial SSU rRNA". It matches the Rfam family "Bacterial small subunit ribosomal RNA", at positions 28 to 417 of the family's 1533-position model. The record is from RNAcentral.